CUGAUGGUGACUGCGGACGACAUUA
Molecule: ribosomal RNA, 25 nt
Filed under: Gloeophyllum sepiarium
Lineage: Eukaryota; Fungi; Basidiomycota; Agaricomycetes; Gloeophyllales; Gloeophyllaceae
Description: partial 18S ribosomal RNA
Source: RNAcentral